This 5093-nucleotide long non-coding RNA is filed under the name Sus scrofa (pig). RNAcentral describes it as "lncRNA (ENSSSCG00030043233.1)". The record is from RNAcentral. Lineage: Eukaryota; Metazoa; Chordata; Mammalia; Artiodactyla; Suidae.
GGGUCAGAAGAGAGUAGCUUGCAUCACUUUCUCUGGCCAGUGUUUGCUGGCCUGUUUGUCUCCCCAUGAGGGGGCUGGAGGCCCUGGAGAGACAGUGAGCAGUCAGCAGGGGGAGAGCUCAGACCCUGGAGAAACAUUCCUGGGGUCUCAGCUACGUGCUCAUUCAGUAAUCACUGACUGGCAGGCACUCUGCUACCAUGGAGGGGCUGUCAUGGUAACAAGACAAGCAUGGUCCCUGCUCCUAGAAGAUAGGAAUUUGAUGAAUGAAUUAAAAAUGACUUUAGUUCCCGCUGUGGCUCAUUGGGAUGAGGAUUCGGGUUCAAUCCCUGCCCCCUCUCAGUGGGUUAAGGAUCCAAUGUUGUUGUGAGCUGUGGCAUAGGUCGCAGACAUGGCUCAGAUCUGAUAGUGCUGUGGCUGUGGUGUAGGCCAACAGCUGCAGCUUCAAUUUGACCCCCUAGCCUAGGAACGUCGUAGGCCACAGGUUCAGUCCUAAAAAGCAAAAAAAAAAAAAAAAAAGGAAGCUAAUAUUUAUGAGUGUUUACUAUGUGCCAGCCACUGUGCUGUUUUAUCACUGCACUGUUUCAUGCAUUGUUUGAAGAUGAGUUGGUAAAUGACAAAGCUAAAGAUUCAAACCAUAUCCAUUUUUGUCUAACUCUAAUGCCCAAACCAAUGAAAAGAGAAUAUGUAGAAAAUAUGUAACAUGCUUAGCACUUAGCAUGAUGGUAGAAUGGAAGAGAUCUGGAUUUGAGUCGGAACUCAGGGCUGGAGUCCUGCAUCUCCCCCUCUGCGAUGAUGGACUGAAAGGGUGAGGCCGUGUCAAGGCAGAAGAAGCUCCAUGAGGCAGGGCCAAGGAGGUUCACUACUUUGCACUUAACGUUUGGUACAAGGAAGGUGCUAAAAUUCAGUUACAUUGGACUGACUUAAAAAAAAAAAUCCUGGGAUGCUGCAACUUGCAUGAACCUUGAAAACACCGCGCUAAACACAAUGAAGCAGACACGAAAGGCUGGAUGUUUAUGAUUCCACUUAAAUGAGGUACCUGCGAGAGUCACGUACAUAGAGAAAGAAGGUACACUGGAGAUUACUGGGAGGUGGGAAGGAGGGGAGCAUGAGGUGUUAUCCUUGAAUAGUUGCAGAGCUUCCGUUUGGGAUGAUUAAGAAGUUCUGGAAGUAGGGGAGUUCCUGCCAUGGCUCAGCAGUUAAUGAAUCCAUGAGGAUGCAGGUUUGAUCCCUGGCCUCGCUCGGUGGGUUAAAGGUGCAUCGUUGCUGUGAGCUGUGGUGUAGGUCGUAGACAAGGCUCGCAUCUUGCGUUGCUGUGGCUGUGGCAGAGGCCAGCAGCAAUGCUCCAUUUCGACCCCUAGCCUGGGAACCCCCAUAUGCCAUGGGUGUGGCCCUAAAAAGCAAAUAAAUAAAUAAAUAAAUAAAUAAAUAAAUAAAUAACUUCUGGAAGUGGAUAAUGUCCCCAGCCAGGGAUCUAAUCCAAGCCACAGUUUCAACCUACGCCAGAGCUGCAAACUACACCACAGCUGCAGCAAUGCCAGAUCCUUAACCCACUUGCCACAGUGGGAACUCUGGUUGCUCUCCUUAAAAAUGAUUUAGGAGUUCCCACUGUGGCUCAGCAGUAACAAACCCUACUAGUAUCCAUGAGGAUGCAGGUUCAAUCCCUGGCCUCACUCAGUGGGUUAAGGAUCCGGUGUUGCCAUGAGCUCUGGUGUAGGUCACAGACAUGGCUCAGAUCUGGCAUUGCUGUGGCUGUGGUGUAGGCUGGUAGCUACAACUCCAAUUUGACCCAGCCUGGGAACUUCCAUAUGCCGCGAGUAUGGCCCUAAAAAAACAAAACAAAACAAAAAAUGGCUUAAACUGAUAAGUUUUGUUAUGUAUAUUUACCACAANUUAAAAAUAAUGUUAUUUAAAUUAAAAAAGCAAAUAUCCUGAGAAACCAAGCACUGUCACAAGAACUUAAAAAACAGAGGUGACAACCCUGCAACAUACACAUGGAGAAAUCAUUCUUUGGUGACAUGAUGUGGCUGAUUAACUACUGAUACUGAUUCUCACUAACAAUAAUAAUAAUACCUUCCCACCUGUCAAGGCACUAACUACUCUGUAUACUUUCCGACCACCAGAAUAGGAGUUAUUACGUCUCUUUUACACAGAGGAGGAGAGCUUACGUGCUUUCCUGUCAGCUCCCUUUUGGAAAGGCCUGGACUUGAACUCAAAUCUCAGAUGGAACCAUCCCAGCAGGCUCCUCGGGGAGCUCCCUUAGGCCAAGCCGACCCUGAUUUGAUGGACUAGUAGCUGUCAUUUGAAGAUGAGCUUUGAUGAGAUUGCAAGGUCUCCAGCGCCUGCAGACUGAGUUUGGUUUGGAAACAGUCACGGUUGAGAAAACAGGAAAGCUCUAAGCAAAUCCCUGUGCUCUCUGGGCCAAUCAGAUCUUCCACUGACGCGAAUGCUCUACGAAUGAUGGUGCGCAAGACGUGGGAUUUCUUUUGAGCUUAGGAGGAAGACUGGCUUUUCCCAUAUGGUCCAGUCCCAAGCUGUACCUUCUCCAUCCCUGAGAAGCAGGUGCAUAUGUGAAGCUAGGCCGUCUGGGGCCACUGCCCUUCAUUCACAUCCGCCUAGAGCUCUGACCAGACUGAACACCAGCUUCAGUCCUUUGCCCUAAGACAGGCAUUGCCAUGAACUCCUGGUUGACAGCCACUGCCCCAAGGGAAGACUUCCUUGGGGAGAGAUUAAUCCGUUCUGUACUUAGCCCGUCUUGGUGGGCUGGUCUUUUCUGUUGCCUCUGUUGGCCCAGUGUACUGCUGAUCCUAUGACUCAGGAAUACACGCACACUGAAGGAAAGAAGGAAGUAAUUCCUCUUCCAGACUCGCCCCCACCUCUUCCCUUUGCUGCUCUUAGAAGAGCCUGGAGGAUCUAGGAAAGGUUUGCAGUGUGGUGUUCAGUGGCAUAAAUCAGUGACGAUAUUAAACAAAUAUUGCCAGAGAUUGGUGAGGGCCCGGACCCCCCCAUAGGCCAAUAAAGGGGACCUUGUGGUUCUGGAUCUCGGUUAACCUACCAGUGGUAUCCUGUCCUCAGUGAGGGGACUUGUCAGUGUGUCUCAGUACAGCUGGACUGCUGUGGCCAUGGGAAAUGGACUUUGCAAGGGGCUCUCUAGCCUGAGGAUGCUCCAUGGCAGGUGGUGUGUGUGUGGGUGAGAGUCACCUCAUGCAUCAGAAAGCCGCUGGGCCUCCUUCCAUGAGAAGCGAACAGGAGCUGUCAGCAGAGGAUGACAAGAAAGUCACACACAGCAUACGAGAGAGUGCUUAGCCUAUCACGAGCAUUCGGUAAGUACUGGCUGUGGCUUUUCUUCUGGAUGUUACUAAGGAGGCAGCGUGUUCUCUGCCAGAUUAGAAAGGACCUACUCCCUGCUAGUCACAGUCUCAUAAAACAAAGGUCAGCAGUUUCUGAACAAAUUCGAUUGCAGCGUAACCUUUUCUCUUUCCUGGUUUUGUUCAUUUUAGACUCUUUUUAAAUGAAUGAUACAAGUAGUAUCUAUUAUAGAAAAAGUCACUACAGAGAAGUGCAAUGGCACAGAAAAUAAUUCACAAAUAGUUCUUCUGCCAAAGAAAGUGAGGCGAACAGUUUUGACAUUUUUAAUCAUAAUUCUGUCGAGGUGGUUUUUUUUUUUUUUUUUCUUUUUUCUUCUGCUGGGAUUUUUACUUAUUUUUAGAAGUAACAUGUUGUAUUACUCACAGCCCCAGCAGAAAACAAGGGAUAUACUUCUGUUGAGAACCUUGGAGAGAAUUUAGUAAAGUUACUGUUAAUAAGGGAGUGGGCAGGGUGGACGGAAAUUCCAUAGAAGGUGUAGUGCCCACCCGGAGUCUCAUGAAGCCGUCACCACCCCAGCCGAAAAGGGGGGCGUGGAGAACCCUCUAGAGAGCUGGAGGGCUAUGUCAGGGAAGACCCCUUCAGAAGAAAGAGGGGUGAUAGGACAUCAGGAUAAGGGAGUAAAUGCCUUGCGCUCCAGCUUCUCCCUGCCUGCCAGUGGCCCCAGAAACCAGUGAGCGUGGCACGGUCAGCACCCCACUGCGUGAGGCACGGGCGUCAAGGGUGGAGAACUGAUCUGGAGAAACAGAGAGACAUCCGACCCAAAGAGGAGGAUGCUCCUGCGGCUUCAUAUUCACACAUUAGGGGUACAGCCACCCCUGCAUACAAAGAAGUGACCAUUGGUUUACAUCCUUCAGACAUUUUUCUAGGUCAUCACCUGGAUAGCAUAUGCCGUCAUAACAGGUGCCGUUUUAGUGUAGGUGUGGGGUGGGCAUAAAUAGUAUGAUACACUGCAUAUUGUUAAACAAGCUGUUUUUUCACCCAAUAAUAAGUCUUAGGCUGUUUCUGUCUCAGCUCACGUAGAGCUAACACAUUAUUUUAACCCCUUGCAAGAUAUUCUCCAGUGUAGCCCAUGGGAAAGCUGUUUUCUAACAUCCUGCUUCUUGCUCUCGCCGUUUGGGGCCCUGGUAGGCCUGCAGUUCCCCACUCUACUAAACUCGAAAGUACCAGUGCAGUUUCCUUUGGGCAAGGACAUACGCACCAGUCACAAGUGUCCCUUCCAGGGAAAAGCUUUAAGAGCCCACAAAAGCAUCGUCAUCUCUCUCUUUUCCUCUGCCCGGGACUUGGGAUAUUUUAGACCAGUGUUGUCCAAUAAAAAUCUAAUACAAGCUGCUCUGUACUUGAAAUUUUCUAGAAGCCACAUUUUAAAAAAAUGUUUUAAAUGGAUAAAAUUAAUUUUGAUAAUGUUAUUUAUCUAGUAUAUUCAAACUAUUAUCAUUUCACCAGUGCAAUCAAGAUUAAACAUGAUGGGGUUCCCAUCAUGCCUCAGCAGAAACGAACCUGACUAGCAUCCAUGAGGACUCAAGUUCAAUCCCCGGCCUUGCUCAGUAAGUUAAGGAUCGGGCAUUGCUGUGAGCUGUGGUGUAGGUCACAGACGCGGCUUGGAUCUUGCAUUACUGUGGCUGUGGCACAGGCCAGCAGCUACACUCCGAUUCAGCCCCUAGCCUGGGAACCUCCAUAUGCUGCAGGUGUGGUCCUAAAAAGCAAAAAAAAGAAAAAAAAAAGAAAAA